RNAcentral lists this transfer RNA (75 nucleotides) under Candidatus Woesearchaeota archaeon. RNAcentral's name for it is "tRNA-Glu". It matches the Rfam family "tRNA". Rfam says of the family: Transfer RNA (tRNA) molecules are approximately 80 nucleotides in length. Their secondary structure includes four short double-helical elements and three loops (D, anti-codon, and T loops). The record is from RNAcentral. Lineage: Archaea; Nanobdellati; Candidatus Woesearchaeota.
GGCCCUGUAGUCUAGUCCGGCCAAGGAUUCGGCCCUUUCGAGGCUGAGACCCGGGUUCAAAUCCCGGCGGGGUCA